This 591-nucleotide ribosomal RNA is filed under the name Phyllocoptes bilobospinosus. Its description in RNAcentral is "partial large subunit ribosomal RNA". Lineage: Eukaryota; Metazoa; Arthropoda; Arachnida; Trombidiformes; Eriophyidae. The record is from RNAcentral.
AAAUAGAACUUUGCAGAGAGAGUUAACAGGGCGUGAAACCGUUAAUUGGCAAACGAAUCGGAGCCACGAAGUCGUUUCGUUGAUAGUUGGGCCGAGUUCAGUUGGUGAGCUAAAACUCAUUGGCGUAUUCUCGAGUUCGACCAUCUUUGUAAGCGUACACUGCAACCAGUUAGACAAUUGAUCAUGGGUCCAGUUGAUGCAUCUAAGGGCAACCAAGGGUGUAUUAGCGAAGCAUUUGUUUGUCCGUGUUAGUAGUGGUGCGGUGUACCUCGGUGCAUUUGUGUCGCUUAGCAUGUGAUAAGUGAACUAUGAUCAAAUACUGACUGGCAAAAUGAAAAUCGCCUCAGUGCGUUUCCACAAAAUGCGGCUGAUUGCAUUAGGUAUCUACGUGCUUGGCCAUUGGGUCUAAGCUCAGCGUUUUUGAAUUUGGACUUGCUUGCUACCAGUGGGGCAACUCCUGGUGCUUGUAUAGUUUCCAUCUAAUCGAGCGUUGACUUGGCUUUAUGUUCGUCCAAGUAUGAAACGAUUGGGUGCCAAUGUAAGUUGGUUUGCAAUUAUUGGCAGUGAGUAGGUCGGCUUUCCGAACGACCC